AACGAACGCUGGCGGCAUGCCUAACACAUGCAAGUCGAACGAGACCUCCGGGUCCAGUGGCGCAUGGGUUCGUCACCCGUGGGAACCUGCCCUUAGGUUUGGACUAACUCUCCGACUGGGGUGCUAAUACCGGACAAUGUCUUCUGACCAAAGAUUUAUCGCCCUUGGAUGUGCCCGAGUUGGAUUAGCUAGUUGUUAGGGUAAAAGCCUCCCAAGGCGACGAUCCAUAGCUGGUCUGAGAGGAUGGUCAGCCACACUGAGAGUGAGACACGGCCCAGACUCCUACGGGAUGCAGGAGUGGGUGAUGGAGGACAGUGGGCGGAAUGAUGAAGCAGCUAUGCCGCGUGAGUGAUGAAGGCCGUAGGGUUGUAAAGCUCUAUUACCCGGGAUGAUAUUGACAGUACCGGGAGAAUAAGCUCCGGCUAACUCCGUG
This 433-nucleotide ribosomal RNA is filed under the name uncultured bacterium. Its description in RNAcentral is "partial 16S ribosomal RNA". It matches the Rfam family "Bacterial small subunit ribosomal RNA", at positions 29 to 507 of the family's 1533-position model. The record is from RNAcentral.